GACGAACGCUGGCGGCGUGCUUAACACAUGCAAGUCGAACGGAAAGGCCCUGCUUUUGUGGGGUGCUCGAGUGGCGAACGGGUGAGUAACACGUGAGUAACCUGCUCUUGACUUUGGGAUAACUUCAGGAAACUGGGGCUAAUACCGGAUAGGAGCUCCCGCUGCAUGGUGGGGGUUGGAAAGUUUCGGCGGUUGGGGAUGGACUGGCGGCUUAUCAGCUUGUUGGUGGGGUAGUGGCUUACCAAGGCUUUGACGGGUAGCCGGCCUGAGAGGGUGACCGGCCACAUUGGGACUGAGAUACGGACCAGACUCCUACGGGAGGCAGCAGUGGGGAAUAUUGCACAAUGGGCGGAAGCCUGAUGCAGCAACGCCGCGUGCGGGAUGACGGCCUGCGGGUUGUAAACCGCUUUCGCCUGUGACGAAGCGUGAGUGACGGUAAUGGGUAAAGAAGCACCGGCUAACUACGUG
This 468-nucleotide ribosomal RNA is filed under the name uncultured bacterium. RNAcentral's name for it is "partial 16S ribosomal RNA". It matches the Rfam family "Bacterial small subunit ribosomal RNA", at positions 28 to 507 of the family's 1533-position model. The record is from RNAcentral.